CAAGGAAGUAAGAUCCCUGAAAGAUGAUCAGGUUGAUAGGUCUGAGGUGGAAGCGUGGUGACACGUGGAGCUGACAGAUACUAAUAGAUCGAGGACUUAACCUAUAUU
Molecule: ribosomal RNA, 108 nt
Filed under: Bacillus stratosphericus
Lineage: Bacteria; Bacillati; Bacillota; Bacilli; Caryophanales; Bacillaceae
Description: partial 23S ribosomal RNA
Rfam family: Bacterial large subunit ribosomal RNA
Source: RNAcentral